Molecule: ribosomal RNA, 469 nt
Filed under: uncultured bacterium
Lineage: Bacteria
Description: bacterial SSU rRNA
Rfam family: Bacterial small subunit ribosomal RNA
Source: RNAcentral
AAGACGCUGGCGGCGUGCUUAACACAUGCAAGUCGAACGGGUUUAAUGGAUGUAGCAAUACAUUCAUUAAAUUAGUGGCGCACGGGUGAGUAACACGUAGGUAACCUACCCUUCAGUGGGGGACAACAGAGGGAAACUUCUGCUAAUACCGCAUACGAUCACGGACUGGGAUGUUCGUGGUGAAAGGAUUUAUUCGCUGAGGGAUGGGCCUGCGGCCUAUCAGGUAGUUGGUGAGGUAAUGGCUCACCAAGCCUGCGACGGGUAGCCGGACUGAGAGGUCGAUCGGCCACACUGGAACUGAGACACGGUCCAGACUCCUACGGGAGGCAGCAGUGGGGAAUAUUGCACAAUGGGGGAAACCCUGAUGCAGCGACGCCGCGUGGAGGAUGACGGCCUUCGGGUUGUAAACUCCUUUUGUCAGGGACAAUGGUGAUGGUACCUGACGAAUAAGCCACGGCUAACUCCUGUG